AAUCAACGCUGGCGGCGUGCCUAACACAUGCAAGUCGAGCGAGAAAAGGGGGGCAACUCCCUGAGUACAGCGGCGCACGGGUGAGUAACACGUGGGUAAUCUGCCCUGGAGUGGGGAAUAACACCGGGAAACCGGUGCUAAUACCGCAUACGAUCACGGAGUCUGCGGAUUUUGUGAUGAAAGGAGCAAUUCGCUCUAGGAGGAGCCCGCGGCUGAUUAGCUAGUUGGUGAGGUAAUGGCUCACCAAGGCAACGAUCAGUAUCCGGUCUGAGAGGACGGUCGGACACACUGGAACUGAGACACGGUCCAGACUCCUACGGGAGGCAGCAGUGGGGAAUUUUUGGCAAUGGGGGCAACCCUGACCAAGCAACGCCGCGUGGGUGAUGAAGUCUCUUGGGACGUAAAACCCUUUCGACGGGGACGAAACCGCAAGGUUGACGGUACCCGUAGAAGAAGCCCCGGCUAACUCCGUGC
RNAcentral lists this ribosomal RNA (474 nucleotides) under uncultured bacterium. RNAcentral describes it as "bacterial SSU rRNA". It matches the Rfam family "Bacterial small subunit ribosomal RNA", at positions 32 to 508 of the family's 1533-position model. The record is from RNAcentral.